Molecule: non-coding RNA, 124 nt
Organism: Myotis myotis
Lineage: Eukaryota; Metazoa; Chordata; Mammalia; Chiroptera; Vespertilionidae
Product: small Cajal body-specific RNA 4
Exons: 1
Source: RefSeq, a predicted model, not a curated record
CUUGAAAUAAAAGACUUUUUUUAAAAAAUACUUUUUUUCUGAUACAAUCCUCCUAAAAAAAAGGGUUGGAGAGAGCAGCCCUUAUUGGAGAAUAUCACAGGGCUGACUGCACUCCCCAACAUUC